UACGUAGGGUGCGAGCGUUGUCCGGAAUUAUUGGGCGUAAAGAGCUUGUAGGCGGUUUGUCGCGUCUGCUGUGAAGUCUCAAGGCUCAACCUUGAGCUUGCAGUGGGUACGGGCAGACUAGAGUGUGGUAGGGGAGACUGGAAUUCCUGGUGUAGCGGUGAAGUGCGCAGAUAUCAGGAGGAACACCGAUGGCGAAGGCAGGUCUCUGGGCCACUACUGACGCUGAGAAGCGAAAGCAUGGGGAGCGAACAGG
Molecule: ribosomal RNA, 253 nt
Filed under: uncultured bacterium
Lineage: Bacteria
Description: partial 16S ribosomal RNA
Rfam family: Bacterial small subunit ribosomal RNA
Source: RNAcentral